GGGUCAUAACCCGUUGUACACUGUCCGCGAAGCGAAGCGAGCGACUGACGACGAGGGCUUACAGGAGACUUACAGCGAGGGCUGCACUACUAACGUCUGAAUACGUACAAUCUCACCACUGACCCGGGCGCCGUGGACAGACACAUCACCAUCAGUCAGACGUGCAAUUAUGCUAAGAAUGUGGCAGAAACGCGGCUCCCUGGCUCUUAUUGCAGUUGAGUAGUUUUCCUUCAAAGACUUUAUAAAGUUUCCUUUCACUACGCAGCCUAAUGCGGGACUAAUUCGACAGCAGAACUAACGGGUUAGACAGUAACAGCAACCAAUGCUAAUUAAAUGAAUCAUAUUCAUAAACCAAGGCAAAGAAGAAAAUUUCAGCAUAAAGAGCAAACCGGCGUAUCAGAUCACUGAAAAUUGCAAGUAAGCACUGUCUGAGAAAAUGGUCAACAUUGGCGUUCGUGAAGUCAUCCGCUACCUCGGUCUCAAGUGCUUAUCACCCAAGGAGGUCCACGAGGACAUGGCAGCAACACUAGGGGAGGCUGAAAAAUAAAUGUGCUACCUUAGGCCACAAGCUUAUCAAUCACCCCUCGUGUAUGUGAUAAAUAAAUCUGAAUCUGAAUCUUAAGUAAUAACUCUAUGUACUGAGUGAAAUGAAACUCGAUAAUUAUAAAAACUCUGGCUAG
This is a long non-coding RNA of Hypanus sabinus (Atlantic stingray), 680 nucleotides long. RefSeq lists it as uncharacterized. The record is from RefSeq and is a predicted model, not a curated record. The transcript is spliced from 3 exons. Lineage: Eukaryota; Metazoa; Chordata; Chondrichthyes; Myliobatiformes; Dasyatidae.